GACGAACGCUGGCGGCGUGCUUAACACAUGCAAGUCGAACGGAAAGGCCCUGCUUUUGUGGGGUGCUCGAGUGGCGAACGGGUGAGUAACACGUGAGUAACCUGCCCUUGACUUUGGGAUAACUUCAGGAAACUGGGGCUAAUACCGGAUAGGAGCUCCUGCUGCAUGGUGGGGGUUGGAAAGUUUCGGCGGUUGGGGAUGGACUCGCGGCUUAUCAGCCUGUUGGUGGGGUAGUGGCUUACCGAGGCUUUGACGGGUAGCCGGCCUGAGAGGGUGACCGGCCACAUUGGGACUGAGAUACGGCCCAGACUCCUACGGGAGGCAGCAGUGGGGAAUAUUGCAAAAUGGGCGGAAGCCUGAUGCAGCAACGCCGCGUGCGGGAUGACGGCCUUCGGGUUGUAAACCGCUUUCGCCUGUGACGAAGCGUGAGUGACGGUAAUGGGUAAAGAAGCACCGGCUAACUACGUG
RNAcentral lists this ribosomal RNA (468 nucleotides) under uncultured bacterium. RNAcentral's name for it is "partial 16S ribosomal RNA". It matches the Rfam family "Bacterial small subunit ribosomal RNA", at positions 28 to 507 of the family's 1533-position model. The record is from RNAcentral.